Serratia proteamaculans 568 is the source of this 93-nucleotide non-coding RNA. The record is from Rfam. Lineage: Bacteria; Pseudomonadati; Pseudomonadota; Gammaproteobacteria; Enterobacterales; Yersiniaceae.
CCCAGAGGUAUUGAUUGGUGAGAAAUCAGCAUACUCUGUAUGUUGAAGCCAUUUUCAAUUGCACCAACCUACGCGGAUGCGUAGGUUUUUUUU